CUUCAUCAUCAUCAUACCUCAGCGUUUCCUCAAAGUUGUCAGCCACAAUUCAACAGCCUGUAAUCACAUAAACAACAUGACCGGAGAGUGAAGAUGAAUCCUCUUUGUAUUGAACUUUGACCCAGAACAGGCCGAUUGCGAGGAUGAGCACGCAGUGGUACUCCAGACCGGCUUUGGACUUGUAGGUUUUGCCGCAGUGAGAACAACUCAGCAGCAUCUUCUCCAGCUCGGACUCCUCCUUGCCACACUUCUUCAUGUGGUACACGU
This is a long non-coding RNA of Cyclopterus lumpus (lumpfish), 267 nucleotides long. RefSeq lists it as uncharacterized. The transcript is spliced from 3 exons. NCBI's taxonomy places the organism in Eukaryota, Metazoa, Chordata, Actinopteri, Perciformes, Cyclopteridae. The record is from RefSeq and is a predicted model, not a curated record.